GACGUAGGGCGCGAGCGUUGUCCGGAUUUAUUGGGCGUAAAGAGCUCGUAGGCGGCUUGUCGCGUCGUCCGUGAAAACCCGGGGCUUAACCCGGCGAGGCGUGCCGAUACGACCAGACUCGAGGCAGGCAGAGGGUGGCGGAAUUCCGGGUGUAGUGGUGAAAUGCGUAGAGAUCCGGAGGAACGCCGGUGGUGCAGACGGCCACCUGGGCCUGUCCUGACGCUGAGGUGCGAAAGCGUGGGGAGCGAACCGG
This 253-nucleotide ribosomal RNA is filed under the name uncultured bacterium. RNAcentral's name for it is "partial 16S ribosomal RNA". It matches the Rfam family "Bacterial small subunit ribosomal RNA", at positions 524 to 776 of the family's 1533-position model. The record is from RNAcentral.